Pelobates cultripes (western spadefoot toad) is the source of this 369-nucleotide non-coding RNA. Lineage: Eukaryota; Metazoa; Chordata; Amphibia; Anura; Pelobatidae. The record is from the annotation of a GenBank genome assembly.
GUGACCUCUCCUCCCCUGCCGACGUCAGCUCCCGAGUGGAGCGGAAUGCGCAUGCGCGGCAAGUGCAAUGCGCGCAUUCAAACAGUCCAUAGGAAAGCAUUUCUCAAUUGACCUGAAGUGGUCUGGGUGACUAUAGUGUCCCUUUAACUUGACUCUAGUGACUGUGAUACUGACAGCCACUGGAAGAGCAUCAGUCCAGAUAGCGGAGGAAUACUCCACUACUUCAGUCAAAUGCUCAUAGAGACCAUCUCACUGGUGGAGCAUUCCAUUAGGCUGUGCAUGCGCACUAGCUUCCUAAUGCUUUCCUAUGGGAAAUCAUUGGAUUGACUGAGAUCAUCAAUUUCUGAGAUCUUGGCACUAUAGUUUUAG